GCUAAACCCGCGGCAGAGGGUGGGGUAAGACGGGGGGUGCAAGGGUUACUUGGAAUCACUGGGCGUAAAGAGCAUGUAGGCUGGUGUGUAAGUUGGAAGUGAAAUCCUAUGGCUUAAACAUAGAACUGCGUCCAAAACUACUUACCUAGAAUAUGGGAGAGGUAGAUGGAAUUUCUGGUGUAGGGGUAAAAUCCGUAGAGAUCAGAAGGAAUACCGAUUGCGAAGGCGAUCUACUGGAACAUUAUUGACGCUCAGAUGCGAAAGCGUGGGGAGCAAACAGGAUUAGAUACCCUGGUAGUC
RNAcentral lists this ribosomal RNA (300 nucleotides) under uncultured Entomoplasma sp. RNAcentral's name for it is "bacterial SSU rRNA". It matches the Rfam family "Bacterial small subunit ribosomal RNA", at positions 496 to 795 of the family's 1533-position model. The record is from RNAcentral. Lineage: Bacteria; Bacillati; Mycoplasmatota; Mollicutes; Entomoplasmatales; Entomoplasmataceae.